RNAcentral lists this unclassified non-coding RNA (368 nucleotides) under Scolecobasidium macrozamiae. RNAcentral describes it as "Ochroconis macrozamiae partial internal transcribed spacer region". The stretch from base 1 to 46 matches the Rfam family "Eukaryotic small subunit ribosomal RNA", at positions 1786 to 1831 of the family's 1831-position model. The record is from RNAcentral. Lineage: Eukaryota; Fungi; Ascomycota; Dothideomycetes; Venturiales; Sympoventuriaceae.
AAGUCGUAACAAGGUUUCCGUAGGUGAACCUGCGGAAGGAUCAUUACUGAGUGGCGUGGUGGAUCGGUCCCAGAGAUGGGGUUGAUCUGUCCAGGUUACCCGACCUUUUGUCAUUUGCUGGUUGGCUGUGUGGGGGUGAAGUUCCGGAUGAGGCUUAGUCUGAUGUCUUAAAGGAUUCGACGACAUGCCUCGGAGGGAAAAAUUCGUCUUGUGCACACCGACACCAUAUUUCGGCGGAAGAGGUAGUCAUCGAGCUGCCCGCCGCCGGUGGUAUUUUUCCAACUCUUUUCUUUGAGAAUAUUGAAGCAGUCUGAAGAAAAAACCCAUAAUGAAAAGCAAAACUUUCAACAACGGAUCUCUUGGCUCUG